UACUCAAUUCAUUCCACAGCCUCAGAUCACCAACUGUACAUUGGAGGAUGAAACUGCAGGCUCCCAGGAUUUUCCAUCCAGGGAGGAUCACCCUGUUCUGGACUGCUCUGUUGCUUCCUGCAAGAUAAUCCGCUGUGAUAUUCAGAUGCUGGGGUUCCGGAAAACACCCCUGGAGUUCAGGAUCAAGGGGGACAUCCAUUUUCAGUGGGCAUCUCAGAUCCAGCAAAAGAAAGUGAUUUUGGUGAGCUCGGCAAAGAUCUCUUAUGAUGACAAAAAGUAUUCACAAAAGGAAGGCUUUAUCCAGAC
Molecule: non-coding RNA, 306 nt
Organism: Anolis sagrei ordinatus
Lineage: Eukaryota; Metazoa; Chordata; Lepidosauria; Squamata; Anolidae
Source: RefSeq, a predicted model, not a curated record